CAGCCGCCGCGGUAAUACGUAGGUCCCGAGCGUUGUCCGGAUUUAUUGGGCGCAAAGCGAGCGCAGGCGGUUAGAUAAGUCUGAAGUUAAGGGCUGUGGCUUAACCAUAGUACGCUUUGGAAACUGUUUAACUUGAGUGCAAGAGGGGAGAGUGGAAUUCCAUGUGUAGCGGUGAAAUGCGUAGAUAUAUGGAGGAACACCGGUGGCGAAAGCGGCUCUCUGGCUUGUAACUGACGCUGAGGCUCGAAAGCGUGGGGAGCAAACAGGAUUAGAUACCCCUGUAGUCCCUGUCUCUUAUACC
This 301-nucleotide ribosomal RNA is filed under the name uncultured bacterium. RNAcentral describes it as "partial 16S ribosomal RNA". It matches the Rfam family "Bacterial small subunit ribosomal RNA", at positions 509 to 808 of the family's 1533-position model. The record is from RNAcentral.